UAAAAUCUUAUUUCCAGAUCUUGUUAACUUAUUUUUUGAUGAAGAACACCCUUCAUCUUCACUUUUUGGCAAAGUGACAGCCAUUAACGGGUUUGAUUUGUCUUUACCGGUCACCGUUUGAACCGGACUAGCUGUACCAACAUCCGGUACAGUGGAUUUCUGAGCAUUUAGUGGGAAAUGCACACCCUUCUCAUCCAUUUUUUGAGGAGAUGGAGAACUCUGAGUCUGAGUCUGUGUUUUUGCAUCCGUCUUGCUUACAUUUGUCUGCUGGUUGAGUCUUGCUUCUAAUAAUUGUAUCU
RNAcentral lists this long non-coding RNA (299 nucleotides) under Capsicum annuum. RNAcentral's name for it is "long non-coding RNA (CANN_LNC019317)". The record is from RNAcentral. Lineage: Eukaryota; Viridiplantae; Streptophyta; Magnoliopsida; Solanales; Solanaceae.